UGUACAUCCUACAACUACCAAAUCCAACAGCUGAGAAUAAUAAAAUUUUUUUAUUAAAAAAGUGUUGAUAACUACACUCUCUCUUUUUUUUUCUUCACUUUGCCACUUUUCCUCCGGCCUUUCCCUCCGCUCACUCCUCUUUUUCUCCAUCUUCACUUUCUCUCUUCCUUCAUUCUUCACCGAUUCUUCAGUGAACUCGUGUCCUGCGGCCAUCCGCUUGUUUUCUUCCUCCAUUUUUGGCUGGAGUUCUCAGCCCUCAUCUACGG
RNAcentral lists this long non-coding RNA (266 nucleotides) under Ananas comosus (pineapple). Its description in RNAcentral is "long non-coding RNA (ACOM_LNC026966)". Lineage: Eukaryota; Viridiplantae; Streptophyta; Magnoliopsida; Poales; Bromeliaceae. The record is from RNAcentral.